This is a long non-coding RNA of Choloepus didactylus (southern two-toed sloth), 1009 nucleotides long. RefSeq lists it as uncharacterized. NCBI's taxonomy places the organism in Eukaryota, Metazoa, Chordata, Mammalia, Pilosa, Megalonychidae. The record is from RefSeq and is a predicted model, not a curated record. The transcript has 3 exons.
AAGCGCUUCCUGGCUCCGCCCUCCCAGGUUUACUCCGAGAAUCGAAAGAAACUCUUCCUGCUCGGAGCCGGCGCGUGGUUCCGGCUCAGGAGCUGCUCGCUGCUUUCGUUUUGACCCUCCGUGGGCCCCCUCUAAGUCGGUUUCCCCAUGGUCCUGCGGAGUCACUCUGAGCAGCUUGCUUAACCUCUCUGGACUUGUUUACACCUCUCUGAAAGUGAGCCUCUUCCGACCGCGGGGGGCUGUUAGACUAUCAGUUUAGCAAACGGAUGUGGAAGUGAUUUGUGGGAGAAGAGCUGGAACGACAGAGACUGAAGGGCUUUUAUCUGUUCACUUGUUUCCUCAGCGUCUCCAUCAGCCAGGGACCAGAUGUCCCCAAGAUCACCCAGAAGCCAGAACUCGGCCCUGCCUUUAUGAUCCCUCCCCGAGGCCUUGUGCAAAGCAGGUGAGCACCCUGCGAGGAGCACCCCUGCAUAUCCCCGGAUGGUGUUCAAGAUCAUGACAAUGAGGAUAGGGACAGUGUUCCCACCGUGUAUUGAGUGCGCACAGAGAGGUUAAGCCUCCUGCCUGAGGUCACACAGUCAGGAAGUGGCAGAGUUGGGACUCAUACCAGGCAGUUGGGAUCCACAGCUGCUGCCCCCAGAAGCCCUCAAAAGGUAGAGAGUCACUGCUGGGCGAGGAAGACAGCGUGGCACAGUGGGUACAACCUGAAUCAUGUGCCAGGCAGGCUGGGCCUUCUGCCCCCAACUUGCUGGGUGACAUGGGCAAGUCCCAUUCCUUCUCUGGGCCAUGGGUUCUUCACCUAUGAAAAGGCAAUGUGGUUCUAAACCUAUUUCCCUAGAGCUGGGCCAUCAGAAAAAGAAGGGUGCCACAGCUCGUGGCUUCACUCCCAGAACCAGAUCAGGAGAGGCUGGGAAUUAGAGGCCUGGGCUCGGUCCUUAUGACCAGGCUGGUGUCCCUGAGCUCAGGGUUUGGCAUCUGUGUCCUGGGGCAGGCAAGGCUGGCUGGCUUG